Molecule: ribosomal RNA, 117 nt
Filed under: Danio rerio (zebrafish)
Lineage: Eukaryota; Metazoa; Chordata; Actinopteri; Cypriniformes; Danionidae
Source: RNAcentral
UGCCACAGCCAUAUCACCCUGCAGCCUAAGACCGGUUACUCACUGAAGCUAAGCAGGGCUCAGCCUGGUCAGUACCUAGAUGGGAGACCUCUAGGGAACACUAGGUUGCUGUUGGAA